UACGUAGGUGGCAAGCGUUACUCGGAAUCACUAGGCGUAAAGCGCAGGUAGGAGGUUUGGUAAGUCUAUUGUGAAAGCUCCCGGCUUAACUGGGAGAGGUCAAUGGAAACUACCAGGCUGGAGUGCGGUAGAGGUAGCUGGAAUUCCCGGUGUAGCGGUGAAAUGCGCAGAUAUCAGGAGGAACACCGGUGGCGAAGGCGGGUCUCUGGGCCGUAACUGACGCUGAGGAGCGAAAGCAUGGGGAGCGAACAGG
RNAcentral lists this ribosomal RNA (253 nucleotides) under uncultured bacterium. RNAcentral's name for it is "partial 16S ribosomal RNA". It matches the Rfam family "Bacterial small subunit ribosomal RNA", at positions 524 to 776 of the family's 1533-position model. The record is from RNAcentral.